CCUACGGGAGGCAGCAGUGGGGAAUCUUAGACAAUGGGGGCAACCCUGAUCUAGCCAUGCCGCGUGAGUGAUGAAGGCCUUAGGGUUGUAAAGCUCUUUCGCCGGGGAAGAUAAUGACGGUACCCGGUAAAGAAGUCCCGGCUAACUCCGUGC
This 153-nucleotide ribosomal RNA is filed under the name uncultured bacterium. RNAcentral describes it as "partial 16S ribosomal RNA". It matches the Rfam family "Bacterial small subunit ribosomal RNA", at positions 338 to 508 of the family's 1533-position model. The record is from RNAcentral.